GCAAACUUGGUCAUUUAGAGGAAGUAAAAGUCGUAACAAGGUCUCCGUUGGUGAACCAGCGGAGGGAUCAUUACCGAGUUUACAACUCCCAAACCCCUGUGAACAUACCUAUACGUUGCCUCGGCGGAUCAGCCCGCGCCCCGUAAAAAGGGACGGCCCGCCCGAGGACCCCUAAACUCUGUUUUUAGUGGAACUUCUGAGUAAAACAAACAAAUAAAUCAAAACUUUCAACAACGGAUCUCUUGGUUCUGGCAUCGAUGAAGAACGCAGC
RNAcentral lists this unclassified non-coding RNA (271 nucleotides) under uncultured fungus. Its description in RNAcentral is "partial contains small subunit ribosomal RNA, internal transcribed spacer 1, and 5.8S ribosomal RNA". The stretch from base 1 to 73 matches the Rfam family "Eukaryotic small subunit ribosomal RNA", at positions 1759 to 1831 of the family's 1831-position model. Lineage: Eukaryota; Fungi. The record is from RNAcentral.